RNAcentral lists this ribosomal RNA (440 nucleotides) under uncultured bacterium. RNAcentral describes it as "partial 16S ribosomal RNA". It matches the Rfam family "Bacterial small subunit ribosomal RNA", at positions 28 to 507 of the family's 1533-position model. The record is from RNAcentral.
GACGAACGCUGGCGGCGUGCCUAAUACAUGCAAGUCGCACGCGGCACCUUCGCUUUCUGAGUGUCGAACGGCUGCGGAACACUUGGUGACCUGUCCGUGAGUUGCGGACAACACCGCGAAAGCGUUGCUAAACUCGCAUACGCUCCGAAUAGGAAAUCCUAAAGGCGCUCCCGGGUUGCCCUGCUUCCCAUCAGGGUGUUGGUGUGGUAACGGCUUACCAAGUCAGUGAGGGGUCGCUGGGCUGUGAGGACGACCAGCCAGACUGGGACUGGGAGACGGCCCAGACUCCUACGGGAGGAAGCAGGAAGGAAUUUUCGGCAAUGGGAGCAAGCCUGACCGAGCAACGCCGCGUGCAGGAAGACGGCCUUCGGGUUGUAAACUGCUUUUGCUAGGGAUGAUAACAGACAGUACCUGGCGAAUCAGCCCCGGCUAACUCUGUG